AGUGUCGCGCCGGGUAGGAGCGGAGUGCAUUGAUGUUGCAAAAUACGGGGUCAUAGCGCCUCCGACACUU
This 70-nucleotide transfer RNA is filed under the name Calliotropis micraulax. Its description in RNAcentral is "tRNA-Ile". Lineage: Eukaryota; Metazoa; Mollusca; Gastropoda; Seguenziida; Calliotropidae. The record is from RNAcentral.